CGCAAGGAAGUAAGAUCCCUGAAAGAUGAUCAGGUUGAUAGGUCUGAGGUGGAAGUGUGGCGACACAUGGAGCUGACAGAUACUAAUCGAUCGAGGACUUAACCUA
RNAcentral lists this ribosomal RNA (106 nucleotides) under Bacillus paralicheniformis. RNAcentral's name for it is "partial 23S ribosomal RNA". It matches the Rfam family "Bacterial large subunit ribosomal RNA", at positions 2819 to 2925 of the family's 2925-position model. Lineage: Bacteria; Bacillati; Bacillota; Bacilli; Caryophanales; Bacillaceae. The record is from RNAcentral.